Molecule: long non-coding RNA, 3780 nt
Organism: Oryctolagus cuniculus (rabbit)
Lineage: Eukaryota; Metazoa; Chordata; Mammalia; Lagomorpha; Leporidae
Source: Ensembl
AUGCCCCCACCCCCUUCAGAAUCAGCCUUUUGUGUGCAGCCAGGAGCUUGUCACUUGUCACACCCCCAGCAUGGGGGUGACCUGUCACACAGGGCAGCGCUGCGGCCCGAGCCCCUGGAGUCGGCCCGUCCCUCUGUCUUUGCCUCCACCAGCGUUGACCGGACGUGGACAGCACAUAACGCCGCCCGCGUGGGGACUGAGUACAAAUCUACAGCAUCGGGGGCAACCAGUGCUUUGGAGAAUGUCUCUGGGCACCGCCCAGGCUCCUCUCUGGAGGGCUCGGGGUGCGUGACUCCGACUUCAUGGCUUCCAUGCCGUCUCGGGUCCCUUGCCACGUCUCCCACUCUGAAGAUGUCCCCAGAGGCCGUGGCAGAGAGCUGGAUGGGAAGUGGAGCAGCCGAGACUCGAACCGGUGCCCAUAUGGGAUGUCGGCGCUGCAGGCGGAGGAUUAACCUACUGCGUCACGGUGCUGGCCCCAGUAUGAAGGGUUUUAAGCCAGGGCCUGACCCCAUCAGCUUGGUAACACAGAAGUCACGCGUGUUAACCAGUGGUUGUCACCCGGGUGAAACUACGCACUCUUGGUGUGCAGGACCCAGAACCUUCUGCGGGCCCAGAAACUGCUGCCGUCACGGAGGCUCCUCCCCCUUCAUGAAUAACCCUCAGCUCAACGUGGACCAGCAGCCAACUCACCUUCCUGAGGAGGUCGGGGCCCAGCCACAGCGACACGGCCUUCCUGCCCCUCCCGGGAGACGAGCCCUGCUGGGGGUGGACACUGCUCCAUGCCAGCCGGCUUAGGCUCCAGGGGCCGCUUCAGUCCCGAGCGCGCGGCCAGGGCCUCGGGGAUCUCACCACACCGUGUCAUGUGAGCACAUUUGCUCCACAAAAGACGUUCUGCUCUGUGGAAAACCAGCUCUGCAGUGACCCCUGCAGCCCCGGGGGCCGACGGCGGGGUGGGGGGGGUGGGGUGAGGGGGGGUGCAGGGGUGAGGGGUGCAGAGGUGAGGUGGAGUGCAACAGUAGGGGAGAGGGUGGGGUGCAGAGGUGGGGUGAGGGAGGGCUGCAAAGGUGGGGUGAGGGUGGGGUGCAGGGCUGGAGUGGGGUGCAACAGGGGUGAAGUGGGGCACAUAGGUGGGGACGCAAAGGUAGGGUAAGGGUGGGGUGAAGGGAGAUGGGAGGUGCAGAGCUGGGGGGAGGGGGUGCAGAGGUGGGUGGUGCAGAAGUGGGGUGAGGGAGGGGUGCAGGGGUGAGGGAUGCAGAGGUGGGGUGAGAGUGGGGUAAGGGCAGGGUGCAGAGGUGGGAGUACAGAGGUGGGGUGGGGUGCAACAGUAGGGUGAUGGCAGGGUGCAGAGGUGGGGUGAGGGUAGGGUGCACAGCACAGUAGCUCCCCUUGUUUGCUGCUCCCCUUCCUACGCCUUCAGCCAUCCAGGGUCCAGACCGUCAGGAGCCUCUAACCGUGGCUGUGGUCAUCCUUGAUCUCCGACUUGCCCGGGGACCGACCUCUUGGGUGUGAAUGUUCAGACCGUAUGGACGAGCCAUGGUGCACGUGAGAGGACUUUUUGCUCCUAGGAAGGGACCACAGAUAAUUUACUUGGGUGCAAGCAAUGGAGAUGCACCCACCAUUUCUGCAGGAUUUCGGGGCCCCUGGGAAAGGGUUUGGUACAAGCCUCAGCUUCAGGCACGCGCUGUGGGCAGAGAAGGGGCGCGGCUGUGAGCGCAGGGUAGAAGCUCUUCACCACCGCCGCCUGGCACGCCCUCCCGCUGGGGUCCAACAGAACUGGGUUCACAUGCUCGCCCCUUGUUUGACUCACGCCGCAACCUCCGGUCCCAGGCGCCUCACCACAGAGUGGGCGGGAUGCCUGCUGUGGGGAGCGCGCCGGGCAGGCCGGACGGCUGGCUCAUCCUCAGGACACAUGACCACUGGCUGAGGGCUCUGCCAGGGUUCACCUCCUCCAGGAAGCCUGCUUGGCACCCCUCCAGGUGCCCAAGCUGCCCCCUGCCUGUGCAGCUCUUGUCCAGUUGGGCACCGUCUCUGCAAUGCCUGUGUCCCCGCCGAGCCCCGUCGCUCAGAGCAGCUGACAGGGACUCUCACCUCCCAGAUGGAGGCCCCAGGGCCCGGCUGCCGCUCUGCCAGCCAUCCCACACCCACCCUGCUGUCUGUCUUUCACAAACCGGGGGCGGGGGUGGUCUGUGAUCGGGGCUGAGCAGGUGCAGGGGCGUCCCAUCAGCACCGCUCGGCCUCAGGCUCACUCAGAAGAACUGGACCAGGGUCUCCCUGAUCUUCAUCAAAGGGGAGGGAAAAACCAACAUGGCUGGCGCAGUUUCCCAUACACCUACAUGGCCUAAAGGGAUAGACUGCUCACGGUGGAGACCUGAGGUCUCUAACCCAUUCAUGGAAAAUGUGCCGGGAGAAAACCACACAGGGAUUUGAAGACGUUUUUACCCCAAACUUACCUUCUAAUUUCCUUUCCGUGAACUUUUUGAAGUGCCCCGUGUUUAUGUGCUUUUGCUGCUGUUGAGAAGGCCCUUCCUAGCAAACAAUCGCUGCUAGGCUUGGACUUGGAAAAACCAGGACACUGGCAGCCCCCACUGCCUUCCCAAAGCUGUUUAGGAUCCUGCGGGUCUUGGGCUGGCCUGGGGUGAAGCGGGUGAAGCCACAGUUUGCAACACCAGCAGCAAGUUCCAGCUGCUCCACUUCCCAUCCAGCUCCCGCUAAUGCACCUGGGAAGGCAGCACACGGUGGCCGAGCACUUGGACCCCUGCUACUACUCAGGAGACCCAGCGGAGUUCCUGGCUGCUGGCUUCAGCCUGGCCCAGCCCUGGUUGUUGUGACCUUUUGGGGGAGUGAACCAGCCGAUGGAAGGUCUCUCCCUCCCUUUCUGUCCCUUUAAAACACAAGCUUGGGUCUGUGCCCACAGGCCGGAAUGAGCUGUGUUUACUGAUAAACACGCAGCGGCUGGGAAAGCUCCCGGCCAUUUCCCCAGCUCUCGGCCAGCUCUGGCCUCAGGUUUUAUCUGUGAUGCGAACACGUCGUCUUGUGUUGAGACUUGCAGCAUGAGUAUAAGAUUAUACGUGAAGACCUGAUUUUGAUCUCUGACGAAGGCAGGCGUAGGGUGUGGGCGGCAGAGCCAGCAGGAGUUAUGCCCACGUGGGCCUGGCGCUUGCACCACUGGGCACCCUGGGGCCGGGGGCGCAGCCCGCGCAAGAGCUUUUGCCUGCAGGCUGCAGGCUGGNNNNNNNNNNNNNNNNNNNNNNNNNNNNNNNNNNNNNNNNNNNNNNNNNNNNNNNNNNNNNNNNNNNNNNNNNNNNNNNNNNNNNNNNNNNNNNNNNNNNNNNNNNNNNNNNNNNNNNNNNNNNNNNNNNNNNNNNNNNNNNNNNNNNNCCUGCAGGCAGGCGUGAAGUGUCACUCCACAGGGCAUGCAAAGGCCAUCAGUGCUCACCAAAAGGGGGGGUGGCACAGGGCAGGCCCAGGACACAGGCCUCCGCCAGGCAGUCAGGCUGUGGCUGCGAGAGUUUGUGCCGAUGGCCGGCCAGUGCUGAGGCAUAGUGGUUAUGUAAAGCCACCACCUGUGGUGCUGGCAUCCCAUACAGGUGCUGGUUCCAGUCCCAGCUGCUGCACUUCCCAUCCAGCUCUCUGCUAUGGCCUGGGAAAGCAGUAGAAGAUGGCCCAAGUCCUUGGGUCCCUGCACCCACGUGGGAGACUCAGAAGAAGCUCCUGGCUCCUGGCUUUAGGCUGGCAUGCCUCUCAAAUAAAUAAAUAAAUAAACUUAAAAAAAAAAAAAAA